Molecule: long non-coding RNA, 154 nt
Organism: Tympanuchus pallidicinctus (lesser prairie-chicken)
Lineage: Eukaryota; Metazoa; Chordata; Aves; Galliformes; Phasianidae
Exons: 2
Source: RefSeq, a predicted model, not a curated record
UCGGCGCGGCGGCGGCGGCCGCCUGUGAAAGUGCCGAGCCGGUGCGCUAGGGGCAGGGGGAAGAUGAGAGAGAAAACUAAAGUGAUGGUUGGUGGCUACCUGCCUCGAAGACUUCUGCCAAUUCUGCUUUCUGCUUCCAGGGAGAAAAAACGGA